This 660-nucleotide ribosomal RNA is filed under the name uncultured bacterium. RNAcentral describes it as "bacterial SSU rRNA". It matches the Rfam family "Bacterial small subunit ribosomal RNA", at positions 152 to 810 of the family's 1533-position model. The record is from RNAcentral.
CGAAAGGCGGGCUAAACCCGCGUACAUGCCACCGGGGCAUCCCGGAGGCAGGAAAGGCUUCGGCCGGACAGGGAUGGGCAUGCGGCGCAUUAGGCAGUAGGCGGGGUAACGGCCCACCUAACCGACGAUGCGUAGGGGUUCUGAGAGGAAGGUCCCCCACACUGGUACUGAGACACGGACCAGACUCCUACGGGAGGCAGCAGUGAGGAAUAUUGGUCAAUGGUCGGGAGACUGAACCAGCCAAGCCGCGUGAGGGAUGAAGGUACAGAGUAUCGUAAACCUCUUUUGUCAGGGAACAAAGGCGGGGACGUGUCCCCGGAUGAGUGUACCUGAAGAAAAAGCAUCGGCUAACUCCGUGCCAGCAGCCGCGGUAAUACGGAGGAUGCGAGCGUUAUCCGGAUUUAUUGGGUUUAAAGGGUGCGCAGGCGGUCUGUUAAGUCAGCGGUCAAAGCCCGGGGCUCAACCCCGGCCCGCCGUUGAAACUGGCAGUCUCGAGUUGGAGAGAAGUAUGCGGAAUGCGCGGUGUAGCGGUGAAAUGCAUAGAUAUCGCGCAGAACUCCGAUUGCGAAGGCAGCAUGCCGGCUCCACACUGACGCUGAGGCACGAAAGCGUGGGUAUCGAACAGGAUUAGAUACCCUGGUAGUCCACGCAGUAAACGAU